RNAcentral lists this unclassified non-coding RNA (229 nucleotides) under plant metagenome. RNAcentral describes it as "partial contains small subunit ribosomal RNA, internal transcribed spacer 1, and 5.8S ribosomal RNA". The record is from RNAcentral.
UCUCCGUAGGUGAACCUGCGGAGGGAUCAUUACAGAGUUCAUGCCCUACCGGGUAGAUCUCCCACCCUAUGUUAUUAUUACUUUGUUACUUUGGCGGGCCGUUAGGCUCCGGCCCGACUACCGGCCCCGGCUGGUAAGCGCCCGCCAGAGGACCCAAAACCCUGAAUGUUAGUGUCGUCUGAGUACUAUAUAAUAGUUAAAACUUUCAACAACGGAUCUCUUGGUUCUG